AACCCGACCACACGAAGCUGGAAUCGCUAGUAAUCGCGGAUCAGAAUGCCGCGGUGAAUACGUUCCCGGGUCUUGUACACACCGCCCGUCACACCAUGGGAGUCAGCAACGCCCGAAGUCAGUGACCCAACCUUUAAGGAGGGAGCUGCCGAAGGCGGGGCAGGUGACUGGGGUGAAGUCGUAACAAGGUACC
This 193-nucleotide ribosomal RNA is filed under the name uncultured bacterium. RNAcentral describes it as "partial 16S ribosomal RNA". It matches the Rfam family "Bacterial small subunit ribosomal RNA", at positions 1309 to 1500 of the family's 1533-position model. The record is from RNAcentral.